This 673-nucleotide long non-coding RNA is filed under the name Mus spicilegus (steppe mouse). RNAcentral describes it as "lncRNA (ENSMSIG00000026146.1)". Lineage: Eukaryota; Metazoa; Chordata; Mammalia; Rodentia; Muridae. The record is from RNAcentral.
UCAGGGAUUUCAUUACCACUCACUGAAUCCUACCUCUGGCUUUCUUGGUCUCCCAGCUUGAGGAUGAGAGCUUGGAACUUCAAUAGUUUCCAGCAACCUUGGAAGAGCCCUGCUCACAUGCAUGGAAGGACAAUAUCUGCAUAGUUCAUGGCUAUCUGAUGAUGGUUCUGGGAGAAGCUUGCCUUCAUGAAGUUCCAUGUACUGAAUACUGUCUUGCUCAUAUAGGUCAGUUAAUCUUCCUGAAAUGUUUUUCUUGUCCUCUUUCCUAUUUAUUUCUUUUUUGUAGGAGAAAGAACUUAACAAAAUGACUCUUUUAAAAGGUGACAGAGCUGGCUGCGUUUAACCUCAUGUUUGUCCUUUCUACUGGUGGGACAGCAAAAAAAUCUGAGACUCAUGUCAUCUGUGGAAACUGCACUCAAACACAGGAGGCGGCGGUGGUGGUGAAAGGAAAGCUUUUGUGGUCUACUCUAAAAGUCACAACUUCUACGAGGAAUUCAACCUUUGGAUCGGCUGCACCCAGAUGAUUUCUUCUUCCUAUCCCAUGAAAGCCAACUGCUGUGAAACAUACUGUGGAACCAGAGAGUUUCCUGUUUGGCAUCCAGGGCUUAACUCGUGUCUGUGUCAAGAGAGAAUGAUUAUAUUUCUUCUAUCACAUUCAAUUAUGUAUAAUAAA